This 1817-nucleotide long non-coding RNA is filed under the name Brassica napus (rape). RNAcentral's name for it is "long non-coding RNA (BNAP_LNC008031)". Lineage: Eukaryota; Viridiplantae; Streptophyta; Magnoliopsida; Brassicales; Brassicaceae. The record is from RNAcentral.
AGAGCAGAAGGUUCAAUCUAAACCAGUAAUUAAAACAAAGGCAGAAAUCACAGCAGAAACCUAAUCUCAAUCCUCAGUAGUAAAAGAAAGAAAACAAGUUCUCAACUCUCAGGUUCACACAAGGAAAUCGAAGAACAUACCGCUCUUUUCUUUCCUGCAGACUCUUCUUCUGAUUUUUAUAAUGAUUCUCAAUAUACUGCUUUGCCGCAGCAACUUUCUGUUUUGUAGCGUUUGAAGGUGCAUCAUUCAUAGGGGGCCUGCCACUAUUCUUCACAUUUCCCUCUUGUCCCUUUUUGGCAUGCAGGCCUUGUAUUCCUCUCAACAAGCUCCGCCUUAAAAUCUGGGAAAUUUUUGCUUUCCAAAGACUUGCUCAAUCCAAAGUCCGAGAGCUUGAUAUGGCCAUUACGAGUUAUCAAUAAAUUAUCAGGCUUUAUAUCCCUAAACAAUCAAAGGAAGAAACUACAGUUAGGGUAACACCACACAUCAACUGAAAGCUAAUUUACACACACAAUAGGAAAAAGGUAAUCCCAAGAAGAAUAAAAAAUGAUAAGAUAAUCCACAAAAUUCAAAAGAAACUGGUCUAAGCGAAUGUCAUCAAGCUUAGAUGCAAAAAGAAAUGAGAAGCUUCAAGUCAGUUGUUAGAACCUGUGAACAUAAUUAUGCUUAUGGAUGGACUCAAUAGCCAGGAUUGUCUGUGCAACAUAAAACCGAGUUUCAUCUUCCCUUAAGAUAUCCUUUCGCAUCAGCAGUGUCAUCAUAUCACCUCCAGGGAGGUAUUCCAUAAUAAGAUACAGAUGUUCGUCAUCUUGGAAGGAGUAGCAAAGCUUGACGAUGAAAGGACUAUCGACUUCUGCAAGCACAUUUCUUUCAGCUUUAACAUGUUCCACCUGUAUUUUAUCGGAAAUAGAUUUCAUUGAGUAACUAACUGAAUCACAGCGGAACUCUGGGAUUUGUAGAUAUUGUAUCACACAGUGCAUUACCUGGCCUCUUCGAAGCAUCUCAGAUUUCUUUAGCUUUUUCAUUGCAUAUACGUUGCCCGUAGAUUUCUCUCUACAAAUCCUCACCUGUACAGAAAUAACAUAGUACACCCAAUAAGUUCACUAACGGAAGCUUAGAUUCAUAAGACCGGAAUAAUAGGCUAGUUACCAACAUCCAGUAGGAGAAACCCCCAAACAAAACAGUAAUAAAAUUCCAUAAUUAUAAUGCAUGAGAUAUUAACAGAUCAUGUAAAGAAAACAAGUUAAUAGCUAGUGAGAAAUGAGAAAGAGAUACCUCUCCGAAAGCACCCCGGCCAAUGAUGCUGAGAAGGUCAAAGUCAUCAACCCCUAUCUUAUGUCUUUGCAGACGCCUAUACUCUAUUUCCUUUUUCUCAAAGUUCUUCAAAAUAUCCAUCUUGUCUUCAACAGGAACAUCAGCCUCCGCUAGGUUUUGUUCCAAGAUGCUCAGACUGUAUUCAAGAGCAGAAGGUUCAAUCUAAACCAGUAAUUAAAACAAAGGCAGAAAUCACAGCAGAAACCUAAUCUCAAUCCUCAGUAGUAAAAGAAAGAAAACAAGUUCUCAACUCUCAGGUUCACACAAGGAAAUCGAAGAACAUACCGCUCUUUUCUUUCCUGCAGACUCUUCUUCUGAUUUUUAUAAUGAUUCUCAAUAUACUGCUUUGCCGCAGCAACUUUCUGUUUUGUAGCGUUUGAAGGUGCAUCAUUCAUAGGGGGCCUGCCACUAUUCUUCACAUUUCCCUCUUGUCCCUUUUUGGCAGGGCUUGGUCUCUGCUGCCGUAUCUGGAACCAGCUCCUUGUAGACUCCGUCGCCAUCUCUAA